RNAcentral lists this microRNA precursor (95 nucleotides) under Canis lupus familiaris (dog). RNAcentral describes it as "mir-8799 microRNA precursor family". It matches the Rfam family "mir-8799 microRNA precursor family". Lineage: Eukaryota; Metazoa; Chordata; Mammalia; Carnivora; Canidae. RNAcentral also lists the same sequence under 1 other name. The record is from Rfam by way of RNAcentral.
GGGGGAGUGCAGGAUCUUGGACUGUGUCCCCCGGCACCCUGGGCUCCAGGGCCUGCACCACUGGAAUCGCACUCCUGGGCCACCCAGCAUCCCCU